Molecule: ribosomal RNA, 484 nt
Filed under: uncultured bacterium
Lineage: Bacteria
Description: partial 16S ribosomal RNA
Rfam family: Bacterial small subunit ribosomal RNA
Source: RNAcentral
GACGAACGCUGGCGGCGUGCUUAACACAUGCAAGUCGAACGAUGAAACCGGAGCUUGCUCCGGUGGAUUAGUGGCGAACGGGUGAGUAACACGUGAGUAACCUGCCCUUGACUCUGGGAUAACUGCGGGAAACUGUAGCUAAUACCGGAUACGACCCUCGGAGGCAUCUCCUGGGGGUGGAAAGAAUUUCGGUCAAGGAUGGACUCGCGGCCUAUCAGCUAGUUGGUGAGGUAACGGCUCACCAAGGCGACGACGGGUAGCCGGCCUGAGAGGGUGACCGGCCACACUGGGACUGAGACACGGCCCAGACUCCUACGGGAGGCAGCAGUGGGGAAUAUUGCACAAUGGGCGCAAGCCUGAUGCAGCAACGCCGCGUGAGGGAUGACGGCCUUCGGGUUGUAAACCUCUUUUAGCAGGGAAGAAGCGAAAGUGACGGUACCUGCAGAAAAAACACCGGCUAACUACGUGCCAGCAGCCGCCGUAA